RNAcentral lists this unclassified non-coding RNA (258 nucleotides) under Gloiothele lactescens. Its description in RNAcentral is "partial internal transcribed spacer 2". Lineage: Eukaryota; Fungi; Basidiomycota; Agaricomycetes; Russulales; Lachnocladiaceae. The record is from RNAcentral.
AUAACCAUCCACUUUAACCUUGUUGGUUAAAGCUGGGAAGUUGGGGGUUUUGUUGCUAGUCAUUUCUGUAUCAGAUGGACUUGCUCCCCUUAAAUUGAUUAGUGAAAGAGAACCAAGCAUAUAGGGAAACAAGCUUGAAAGGGGUUGAUGUGAUAGAUUUAACUUUUCUAAUUGACCUCUGAAGUGUACUCCUGUUGACAUGCAAUAACAAAAGCUUCUCUUCUGCUUUCAAACUGCAUUUUUGAAUGCUAUUUUUGA